This is a long non-coding RNA of Felis catus (domestic cat), 4213 nucleotides long. RefSeq lists it as uncharacterized. The record is from RefSeq and is a predicted model, not a curated record. Lineage: Eukaryota; Metazoa; Chordata; Mammalia; Carnivora; Felidae. The transcript has 2 exons.
UCAGAAGCAGGCUCCAAGCUCUGAGCUGUCAGCACAGGGCCUGACACGGGGCUCGAACUCCUGAACCACAGUCGGAUGCUUAACCAACUGAGCCACCCAGGCGCCCCUAAUAGGAAAAAGUUUAAACAUACAGGAAAACUGAAGUAAUGGUGCAGUGAGCAUCUGUGUACCCACCACCUAGAUUUUACAAUUAACAUUUUACUCGGCUUUUCACAUAUCCAUCUAUAAAGCCUUGGUGUUUGAUGCAUUACAAAGAAAAUUACAGAUUCAAGUACAUUUCACUUCUAAACAUUUCAGCAUGCAUAUUGUUAGCUAGAAUUUAGUAUUUAUUAAAGGUUCACUUUUUUUAUUUUGAGGUAAAAUUUACAUGCGAUGAAAUACACAAAUCUUGAAGUUUUUGAUGCAAUGAAUUUUGACAAAUCCUGCAUCUGUGAAUCUCCAGCCUUUGUCAAGAUAACAUUUCCUUCGCCCCAGGAAACUCCCUCAUGCUCCUUCCCAGUCAAUCUCUGUCACCCCAGCUGGGGUGUACCCUAGGCAACCACUGUUCCUUCUGAUUCCCCCCCUUCACGGUUUAGUUGAUUUUUCAAAAUGUUUAUAAAUGAAUCAGAGUAUCAGUUCAGACACUUAACUGACCGAACCACCCAGGCACCUCUCUCAUUGCGGUUUUAAUUUGCAUUUCCCAAGAUCAUGUUGAGUAGUUUUUCAUGUGCUUAUUUGCCAGUUGUAUACAUUCCUUAUUGAAGUGUGUUCAAAUUUGUUGUAUUUUUAUUAUUGAGUUAUAGGGGUUUAUUCCGUAUGCCAGUUGCAGAUCUUUUUCAGCUAUAUUACUGCCUAUUUAGGUGUCCUUACCUAACUAAUGUGUAUUAUAUGUUAUACACCCAAUCAUAGUUUAAAUAAUUAGUCCAGGACUUGCAAGCGAGUUAUUUGGCUGAAAGUUAAGCUGUUCUGGUAUGCUAACCAGUUCUCUGGUGGCCUAAAAGUUAAUGUUAGUUAUUAAAAUACAAACAAACUUCAGGGAUCUGAAUUAAUUAGGGGAAAGCUAAUUGCUGAAAGGUCUUACUACAAAAAAAAAGCAUCAACUGAUACUUGAGGAAAUAUUACCCAAAUGUACUCAGAUUAUACCAGUUUAAUAAUGACCAGCCUAACCUCACUUUAUGUCUCUUUCUACUGGCCCACGGAUUCAAACUGUUCUGCACAACUUGUACUUUGGGUACUCAAUAAAGAAUAAAAAAUGUUGAGGAUAAGGCCUGUAAGGUUUCUCAAUGUGCGAGCUAUAGCUUUAUAACUAUUGGUCUCUUCGUGUCAUCUCAAAGUUCUUUAUGAGUGCUUAUUCAAUUUUUAAAUAUUUAAUAGCUCUAAUGGUAAGUAUAACAGGUGGUAAGUAUAACAGGACAUUAAUAAUGUUUAUUCUCAAUCAUCUACUUUUUAAAAUAUAUUGGACUGCAAAGGUCUCCCUGAAGUGUCUGUUGGUUAAAUUAUAGUGUAAAAUCCAUUGUUCACAAAUGUUUGUUAAUAAUAGGCGGCUAUAAACCAUUGGAAAACGGAGAAACAAAACACCUUAAUUCUGAGCAGCCAUUCAUUUCAGGGGAAAAAGUCAAUGCUUUAUUUUUGUUUAUACUGAAGCUAAAAAUACACAAAACCAUUUUGUACAGUAUUUUUAACACAUUUAAAGAUGACACUAACUUUGCACUUCUUACAGAAAGUAUUUAAAUAAAAGUAAGGUUACUCAAGGAGGUUUUAGCUUUUAAAAUUGUUGUCUGCAAAGCCAAAAUGACAUUUACACAAACACAUUUGGAAUUUUCCUUUUUCAUGAUUAAGCCCAAGAGAUACAAUUUUCAUCUUGAGUUCGAUGCAAACAUUUUCUGUAUGGCAAUGUGUGAUUGGGGCUGUCAACUAGGUUAAGAAAGUGAGUUAAACACCACCUGUGUUCUUUACAAUUCUUUGUCUUGCGUCAAAUGUUAGUUCCAAACUACAUUCAUUGUUUUGAAUAGGCAGAAGCUCUUCAGUCGCAGUUUCAACCUCGUUUUUGAGAAAUCUGGAAACAAUUCUGUGAAAGGUUUAAAUAUUGAUACUUUCUUGAAUACUACCACUGGUGUGCAUUCCCAUGUUACAAGAAACAAAAAGAAAAUGUUUUCGCUUGAGAAGGAUGUGUUUAUUCAUACUUAAAUGUCCUUGAGAAAGUCUUUACCUUUACAGUUGACAUAAGAAACCGUUUGUGUUUACUUUUAGUAUGUUAAAGUAACAGUUUGAACAGUUAAAAAUUUCAUAGCUAAUAAUUUAUCAAAUCGGAUUGCCUUUAGCAUUAUGAAAGCCAGAGACUAAUGUGUUCAACCCUUUGGGUUUAGAGAUUUCCUGAUGAGCUCCCACGACAUUCGUUUUAGUGUCCUUGGUUCCAAUGCUCCUGUUAGACACUUCAGAGUUCUGCUUCUCCUGUUCAAGUAUACUAAGUACAGUUAUCACUGUGCUUGUUGGACUACAGGCUCCAUUGCUUUGGUUGUUGAAACUGAUCACUUAAUGUAUGUUGUAAAAGGAAGUCCUGCACGGUGUGACCAUGAAGUGAUAAAGCUUUACCUUAAUAUAACUAGACCCUACACAGGAAAUACAUGUGAUUUUCAAAUGACUUGAACAUUCAGCCAGCUGCCGCCAUCCUCCCUCUAGAGCCGCCUCCUACUUCUGUUGCCAGAGUUCCUCCUAAGUUCAACGAACACCCACCCCCUCUAUUUCUCCAAAGGCUGGGGCUUUUCUUUACGGCCCCUUCUUCCUGCCAACAGCCUAGUUGUCAGAACCUCUGCAUCAUGAAGUACAUUUCUAAUGCAUCAAAUAAGGUUUUGGAAGCCAAUGCUGGGUUUAUUUAUAACAAGCUGUUGGAACUCGGAAUGUGUUUCACUAUUAAACACAAAUGUUUUAAGGGUUCAGUCAUUAUGGUUGUUCCCAAAUCCGUGGAGGUUGUAUACCUAAAUGUGUUCUUUAAUGUUUCCUCCUCGGGAGGCUUUAGAUGCACAUAUUUCAGUAAGACUGCCACUCGCUGUCCCAAGCAUGUCUAAAACUAGAUUUCAGACUGCUGAGAGGGACAAGGACUCUUUGGGGAUAUUGGAAUUUUUUUUUAAUGUUUAUUUUGAGAGAGAGAGAGAGAGAGAGAGAGAGAGAGAGAAUCUCAAGCAUGUUCCAUGCUGUCAGCGCAGAGCCCAAUGUGGGGCUCAACCCCAUGAACUGUGAGAUCAUGGCCUGAGCCAAAAUUACGAGUCAGACACUUAACCGACUGAGCCACCCGGGUGCCCCAGAAAGUUUUGCAUCUUAAUGUUGGUGAUGGUUCCAGGGAUAGAUACAACUGUGAAAACUCACUGAAUUGCACACAUUAAAGUAAGGAUGCAGGCAAGUGUACACCAGUUAUUACUCUAUAAUAAAGUUGGUAAGAAAAAAAAUUAACUGGUUUCCAAAGAGUGUCAGGUCGCUUUACAAAUCACACAAGAAACUGUCUCAUUUUAUACUUGUACCUAAUGAAGUGCUUAUUAUGUAUUAGCGCUUGAACCAGAAAAAUUAGAACUCCGCUGGAUCACCCCAAUUUUUGACCAAAUAUGGACCUAAAAAUUACUUUUGACUGUUGCUUUCUAAAAAUUUUGUCUUACAGGAUCAUAGUUUUCUACCAUUGAGGAUAUUUCUACCAUUGAGAAUAUUACGGAUUUUUAAAGGCUUCCCAAAAGCAGAAGUCCACAAUGGUUUGAGUAACGUCAGCCUUCACACAUGGGUGUGGCUUAAGAUGAUUAGUUUGAAGAACCGCAUUCAUUUGGGCACAUACGUUCCAGCAUGCGUGUGAAAAUGAUCAGUCUCCUUUUAUAAUCUCAGUUGAUAUGUUUAUUCCACAUUUUUGAGGCUAAAACAUGAUACCAGGUAUGUUCUUUUCGAACCUAAAUGCUUUAUUUUUCUUCAAACCAGAAACCUGAAAUUCUGAGGGCUUUCAGUAUUAACAAUUGUGCUACAGGAGAUACUGUCGUGGCAACUUAUUUGAGAAAUUCCUCACCAUAUCUCAGGAAGUUUCUUUCCAUUGAAGUUACUUCUCCUCCUUCCUUAAAAAUGAUCGAAUAAUUACCCAAAAAGAGGAAGGGCCAAGGACAGAACAAUCAAAUGCUAUUAGGUUUCAUUGUGUGCAUGCGUGUGUGUGUGUAUGUGUGUGCGUGUGUAUAACACAAAUAAAGUUCUCACUAUUACAAACCUC